Pezoporus flaviventris is the source of this 743-nucleotide long non-coding RNA. RefSeq lists it as uncharacterized. The transcript is spliced from 3 exons. The record is from RefSeq and is a predicted model, not a curated record. NCBI's taxonomy places the organism in Eukaryota, Metazoa, Chordata, Aves, Psittaciformes, Psittacidae.
CUGGGAGGAAGGAGGAGGGUGGGAAGUGAGAGAUGAUAACCCCAGCUCUGAGAGAAGCGCUCACAAAUCAAGAAUCUCUCCUGAUGCUGCUGAGACCACAGUUCUGCUAUUGCACUGGAGGCACCUUGCUUCAGAGCUGGGCUCUGAUUUUCUAACUAUGUCCUGUGUGAGUCCAGCAGCUGUGGGAUCCCAACACCUUUGCUCCCCAGGAUUGGUCUGAGCUUUUGUCAGUUACAAACUGGUUGGGAGCCAUUCUGGGGUGAAGCUCUGCUGACGGACAAAGGUAAAUGCUCUCUUUCCUUCUCUCAUUUUCUAAAUUGAAAUUAAAAAAGUAGACACUUACUCAGGUAGUAACAUUUCCAAAUGAAGUAUUGUUUAAAAAAGCAGUAUUACAUUAAUGAAACCAAAUUUCAUCUUCCAAGCUGUAGUUUUACAUUUCAAGCUAUUAAAAUCCUGCUGUGAAGAGUGAGCUUGUGACCGUGGCCAAGAGCUGGGAAUCGAAUUUUCUGUUGUUUUUUCCUGUGAUUCUGCUGUCUGCUAAAAUAACUCCUGCCUCCUGAGGUACACAGCAGAGGGAGAACACCCCACAGAGAAGUGGGAAGGUUUCAUCAGCGCUGUGAGGUCCCUGAAACAAAGAUACUGCAGUCUGUCAUUCCAGUGGAAUGGGCACACGAGGGCAUUUGAACGUGUUGUUGUGGGACUGUGAGCACAGUCUAGUGGGGAUCGGAUGGAGCAGCCCUGAG